AAACCAUGCAUUGGGGAUUUUCUAAUUAACUCCUUGAAUCGUUCCCAUGCUUCAUAUAAUGUUUCAUCCUCAGAUUGCCAAAAAGACGUAAUAUCGUUCCUUAAUUA
This is a small nucleolar RNA of Gossypium raimondii (Peruvian cotton), 107 nucleotides long. It matches the Rfam family "Plant small nucleolar RNA R71". From Rfam's summary of the family: R71 is a member of the C/D box family of snoRNAs containing the C (UGAUGA) and D (CUGA) box motifs. The record is from Rfam. NCBI's taxonomy places the organism in Eukaryota, Viridiplantae, Streptophyta, Magnoliopsida, Malvales, Malvaceae.